RNAcentral lists this ribosomal RNA (344 nucleotides) under uncultured bacterium. RNAcentral's name for it is "partial 16S ribosomal RNA". It matches the Rfam family "Bacterial small subunit ribosomal RNA", at positions 338 to 699 of the family's 1533-position model. The record is from RNAcentral.
CCUACGGGCGGCAGCAGUGGGGAAUAUUGGUCAAUGGGGGGAACCCUGAUCCAGCGACGCCGCGUGAGUGAAGAAGGAUCUCGGUAUGUAAAGCUCCAUUAGCAGGGAAGAAAAUGACGGUACCUGUCUAUGAAGCCCCGGCUAACUCCGUGCCAGCAGCCGCGGUAAUACGGAGGGGGCCAGCGUUAUCCGGAUUUAUUGGGUGUAAAGGGGGCGUAGGCGGUGAAGCAAGUCUGAUGUGAAAGGUCGGGGCCCAACCCCGGGACUGCAUGGGAAACUGUUGAACUGGAGUGCAGGAGAGGUAGGCGGAAUGCAUGGUGUAGCGGUGAAAUGCUUAGAUAUUA